CAGUAGCCGCGGUAACACGUAAGGUGCGAGCGUUGUUCGGAAUUAUUGGGCGUAAAGGGCAUGCAGGCGGUCGUGCAAGCCCGGCGUGAAAGGUGGGGGCUCAACUCCCAAACUGCGCUGGGAACUGCAAGGCUUGAGUUUCUGAAGGGCAGCCGGAAUUCCACGUGUAGGGGUGAAAUCUGUAGAUAUGUGGAAGAACACCAAUGGCGAAGGCAGGCUACCGGCAGAAGACUGACGCUGAGGUGCGAAGGUGCGGGGAGCAAACAGGAUUAGAUACCCCCGUAGUCCCUGUCUCUUAUAC
Molecule: ribosomal RNA, 301 nt
Filed under: uncultured bacterium
Lineage: Bacteria
Description: partial 16S ribosomal RNA
Rfam family: Bacterial small subunit ribosomal RNA
Source: RNAcentral